RNAcentral lists this ribosomal RNA (325 nucleotides) under uncultured eukaryote. Its description in RNAcentral is "partial 18S ribosomal RNA". It matches the Rfam family "Eukaryotic small subunit ribosomal RNA", at positions 1470 to 1796 of the family's 1831-position model. The record is from RNAcentral.
CCCUUAGAUGUUCUGGGCCGCACGCGCGCUACACUGACGAAGUCAGCGAGCAUCUCCUUCGCCGAAAGGUGCGGGGAAUCUUGUGAAACUUUGUCGUGCUGGGGAUUGAUUUUUGAAAUUCUUGAUCAUCAACGAGGAAUUCCUAGUAAGCGCAAGUCAGCAGCUUGCGUUGAUUACGUCCCUGCCCUUUGUACACACCGCCCGUCGCUACUACUGAUUGGGUGUUCAAGUGAGAUGCUUAGACCCUUGUUGCAUGGUUCAUUAUUGUGCUCCGAAAGGAAAAAGUUUCAAGCUUGAGUGUCUAGAGGAAGUAAAAGUCGUAACA